ACUGCUCAGUAACACGUAGUCAACAUGCCCAGGGGACGUGGAUAACCUCGGGAAACUGAGGAUAAACCGCGAUAGGUCAUAAUAUCUGGAAUGAUUUCUGGCUAAAAUCUAUAUGGCCCCUGGAUUGGACUGCGGCCGAUCAGGCUGUUGGUGAGGUAAUGGCCCACCAAACCUAAAACCGGUACGGGCUCUGAGAGGAGAAGCCCGGAGAUGGGCACUGAGACAAGGGCCCAGGCCCUAUGGGGCGCAGCAGGCGCGAAAACUCUGCAAUAAGCGAAAGCUUGACAGGGUUAUUCUGAGUGAUUUCCGCUAAGGAAAUCUUUUGGCACCUCUAAAAAUGGUGCAGAAUAAGGGGUGGGCAAGCCUGGUGUCAGCCGCCGCGGUAAUACCAGCACCCCGAGUGGUCGGGACGAUUAUUGGGCCUAAAGCAUCCGUAGCCGGUUCUACAAGUCUUCCGUUAAAUCCACCUGCUUAACAGAUGGGCUGCGGAGGAUACUAUGGAGCUAGGAGGCGGGAGAGGCAAGCGGUACUUAGUGGGUAGGGGUAAAAUCCGUUGAUCCAUUGAAGACCACCAGUGGCGAAGGCGGCUUGCCAGAACGCACUCGACGGUGAGGGAUGAAAGCUGGGGGAGCAAACCGGAUUAGAUACCCGGGUAGUCCCAGCUGUAAACGAUGCAGACUCGGUGAUGAAUAGGCUUCGUGCCUCUUCAGUGCCGCAGGGAAGCCGUUAAGUCUGCCGCCUGGGGAGUACGGUCGCAAGACUGAAACUUAAAGGAAUUGGCGGGGGAGCA
RNAcentral lists this ribosomal RNA (790 nucleotides) under uncultured archaeon. RNAcentral's name for it is "bacterial SSU rRNA". It matches the Rfam family "Archaeal small subunit ribosomal RNA", at positions 85 to 878 of the family's 1478-position model. The record is from RNAcentral.